RNAcentral lists this ribosomal RNA (340 nucleotides) under uncultured bacterium. RNAcentral describes it as "partial 16S ribosomal RNA". It matches the Rfam family "Bacterial small subunit ribosomal RNA", at positions 338 to 675 of the family's 1533-position model. The record is from RNAcentral.
CCUACGGGCGGCAGCAGUGAGGAAUAUUGGUCAAUGGGCGGAAGCCUGAACCAGCCAAGUAGCGUGCAGGAUGACGGCCCUACGGGUUGUAAACUGCUUUUAUACGGGAAUAACGCGCCUUACGUGUAGGGCUUUGCAUGUACCGUAUGAAUAAGGACCGGCUAAUUCCGUGCCAGCAGCCGCGGUAAUACGGAGGGUCCGGGCGUUAUCCGGAUUUAUUGGGUUUAAAGGGAGCGUAGGCCGCUUGUCAAGCUUGCUGUGAAAUUUCGGGGCUCAACCCGGGCCUUGCAGCGCGACCUGGCGUGCUGGAGGCCGCGGAAGGCAGGCGGAAGUCGUGGGG